Molecule: long non-coding RNA, 1059 nt
Filed under: Rattus norvegicus (Norway rat)
Lineage: Eukaryota; Metazoa; Chordata; Mammalia; Rodentia; Muridae
Description: long non-coding RNA NONRATT001172
Source: RNAcentral
GCGUCUCCACCACUCAGACUGCAUAAACAUGCCAGUGAUUCUCAUGGUUUAUACAGUUCAUACACAAACUAGUCUGUUCAAAGUAGAAAGUUUCCCUUUCUCAGAAGUUACUAAACUGCUUCACUAGUUACAGAUUAUUGAAAGCUGUAUCUUAUCAAAAGCAACCCUGUUAACUGGGGUAACAUCUUUUUAUAACUACAGGUUAACCCAAAGUGUGACACUAUUUUGACUUGGAGCUUUUAAGUAAAAGCACCACUUCUAAAUUGUGGGACAGGUGUAGAACACAGGGCUGUUUUAAUUGGGGUCUAUAAAUUUAAUGGUUCUCUAUAAACAUUUUGCUGCUCAGGCUUAAUUAAUACUUGUACACAAAACACAGUAUUUGAAAACUUCAUUUAGAAGUCAGGGGUAUUGCUAGCUAUUUCAUUUUACUCUUUUUAAAAUAAUACUGACGUUUGUGUAUGAGGCAUUUCACUAACCUUGAAUCAUUGGAUCUUAAACAUGAUAAGUAGAAUAUCUUGUUCUCUACAGUAUAUGGGCUAUAGUUCCUGUCUAACUAAAUACAGUGAUUCAAAGAUUAAAAAGUCAGUGUUUCGGGAGUUUUCCCCACUUUUGGAUAAAUGAGUUUUUUGGGGGGAGGGGGUUGUUUUUUUUAUUCUUUGGGUUUUUUGUUUUUUAAAGCAUAAUGCUGUAAAAACUGUCCAAGUUUCUGUUUUGCUGGUGAUUGGUUUAAAACUGAUUUUUAUGUAUCCAAAUGCUAGCACAAAUUAGAAAACUGUCCCGGUGACUGUAGUAGCUAAUGUAACACAUUUGUAUAAACUUCUUAUAUAGUAUUUAAAUUAAUUCAGAUGAAAUUUUAUUUCUUGAAAAUAAUUAUUUCCUUUUUGUUUAUUAGCAUGUGUAUAAACACAAGUCACAUGUUCAUAAAUAAAGUUAACAUUCUUUUAGCCUUGUGUGUUCCCUGGCAUGUCUGUAUUACAUUUAUAAAAAGUUUAUGGUAAGCUUAUUCAGAUUUCUCUUCCUUUGAGUGCCUUAAACAGUUUUAAUUUUAGAUAGAAUUAA